GAAGGGGGCUAGCGUUGUUCGGAAUUACUGGGCGUAAAGGGCGCGUAGGCGGUCUUGUAAGUCAGAUGUGAAAGCCCCGGGCUCAACCCGGGAAUAGCAUUUGAUACUGUGAGGCUUGAGGCCGGGAGAGGAUGGCGGAAUUCCCAGUGUAGAGGUGAAAUUCGUAGAUAUUGGGAAGAACACCGGUGGCGAAGGCGGCCAUCUGGACCGGUACUGACGCUGAGGCGCGAAAACGUGGGGAGCAAACAGGAUUAGAUACCCUGGUAGUCCACGCCGUAAACGAUGAGUGCUAGACGCUGGGGGGUUAACCCUUCGGUGUCGCAGCUAACGCAUUAAGCACUCCGCCUGGGGAGUACGGCCGCAAGGUUG
Molecule: ribosomal RNA, 369 nt
Filed under: uncultured bacterium
Lineage: Bacteria
Description: bacterial SSU rRNA
Rfam family: Bacterial small subunit ribosomal RNA
Source: RNAcentral